AUACGGGAGGCAGCAGUAAGGAAUUUUGGACAAUGGGGGCAACCCUGAUCCAGCAAUGCCGCGUGAGUGAAGAAGGCCUUCGGGUUGUAAAGCUCUUUUGUCAGGGAAGAAAAGGUAUCCUCUAAUACAGGGUGCUCAUGACGGUACCUGAAGAAUAAGCACCGGCUAACUACGUGCCAGCAGCCGCGGUAAUACGUAGGGUGCAAGCGUUAAUCGGAAUUACUGGGCGUAAAGCGUGCGCAGGCGGUUAUGUAGGUCAGAUGUGAAAUCCCCGGGCUCAACCUGGGAACUGCAUUUGAGACUGCAUGGCUAGAGUGUGUCAGAGGGGGGUAGAAUUCCACGUGUAGCAGUGAAAUGCGUAGAUAUGUGGAGGAAUACCGAUGGCGAAGGCAGCCCCCUGGGAUAACACUGACGCUCAUGCACGAAAGCGUGGGGAGCAAGCAGGAUUAGAAACCCUGGUAGUCCC
Molecule: ribosomal RNA, 466 nt
Filed under: uncultured bacterium
Lineage: Bacteria
Description: bacterial SSU rRNA
Rfam family: Bacterial small subunit ribosomal RNA
Source: RNAcentral